CUACGUGCCAGCAGCCGCGGUAAUACGUAUGUCACAAGCGUUAUCCGGAUUUAUUGGGCGUAAAGCGCGUCUAGGUGGUUAUGUAAGUCUGAUGUGAAAAUGCAGGGCUCAACUCUGUAUUGCGUUGGAAACUGUGUAACUAGAGUACUGGAGAGGUAAGCGGAACUACAAGUGUAGAGGUGAAAUUCGUAGAUAUUUGUAGGAAUGCCGAUGGGGAAGCCAGCUUACUGGACAGAUACUGACGCUGAAGCGCGAAAGCGUGGGUAGCAAACAGGAUUAGAUACCCUGGUAGUCCACGCCGUAAACGAUGAUUACUAGGUGUUGGGGGUCGAACCUCAGCGCCCAAGCAAACGCGAUAAGUAAUCCGCCUGGGGAGUACGUACGCAAGUAUGAAACUCAAAGGAAUUGACGGGGACCCGCACAAGCGGUGGAGCAUGUGGUUUAAUUCGACGCAACGCGAGGAACCUUACCAGCGUUUGACGUC
RNAcentral lists this ribosomal RNA (484 nucleotides) under uncultured bacterium. Its description in RNAcentral is "bacterial SSU rRNA". It matches the Rfam family "Bacterial small subunit ribosomal RNA", at positions 501 to 988 of the family's 1533-position model. The record is from RNAcentral.